UCAAGCGAAGAAGAGCACAAGGUGAAUGCCUUGGCAUCAGGAGCCGAAGAAGGACGCGACAAGCUGCGAUAAGCCACGGGGAGCUGCAAAUAAGCUUCGAUCCGUGGAUUUCCGAAUGGGGAAACCCCCGUGAUGAAUAGUCACGGAGCGUAACAUGAAUCCAUAGUGUUGCGCGGGGAACCCGGGGAACUGAAACAUCUAAGUACCCGGAGGAAAAGAAAUCAACCGAGAUUCCGCGAGUAGUGGCGAGCGAAAGCGGAAAAGGCGAAACCGGAAGUAGUAAUACUUUCGGGGUAUGGACCGUGAUGUGGAAUUGUGAAGGCGUAGUCGAACGGCGUGGGAAAGCCGACCAGAGACGGUGAGAGUCCGGUAGACGAAACGCGGUAACAUCCUAACGGUAUCCUUAGUAUCAGCGGACACGAGAAAUCCGGUGAGAAGACGGGGGGACCACCCUCCAAGCCUAAAUACUACCUGAUGACCGAUAGCGGAGAAGUACUGUGAAGGAAAGGUGAAAAGAACCCCGGGAGGGGAGUGAAAGAGAACCUGAAACCUUGUGUUUACAAGCACACAAAGCACGUUAAGGUGCGAUGUGGUACUUUUUGUAGAACGGUCCGGCGAGUUAUAGUAUGCAGCGAGGUUAAGUGAUUCAGUCACGGAGCCGCAGGGAAACCGAGGGUGAAGAGCCCGUAGAGUUGCAUGCCAUAGACCCGAAACCGGGUGACCUAUCCAUGAGCAGGUUGAAGUAGAGGUAAAACUCUAUGGAGGACCGAACCGACCCCCGUUGAAAAGUUGGCGGAUGACUUGUGGAUAGCGGAGAAAUUCCAAUCGAACCCGGAUAUAGCUGGUUCUCCCCGAAAUAGCUUUAGGGCUAGCCUUGUGUGAUGUUUACCGGAGGUAGAGCACUGAAUAGGAGAGGGGUCGAGAGAUUACCAACCCUUAUCAAACUCCGAAUGCCGGAUAAAUUAACACGGGAGUCAGACUGUGUGAGAUAAGUCUCACGGUCAAAAGGGAAACAGCCCAGACCUACAGCUAAGGUCCCCAAUAUACGCUCAGUGGAAAAGGAUGUGACAAUGCUAAGACAACUAGGACGUUGGCUUAGAAGCAGCCACUCAUUGAAAGAGUGCGUAAUAGCUCACUAGUCGAGUGAUGUUGCGCCGAAGAUUUAACGGGGCUCAAGCGUAUAACCGAAGCUUAGGAUCCUAUGGGAUGGUAGGGGAGCGUUCUGUACGGGGCGAAGCAUGAGCGGAAGCACAUGUGGACUGUACAGAAGUGAGAAUGCCGGAAUGAGUAGCGAGAAUUGCGUGAGAAUCGUAAUGGCCGAAAAUCUAAGGUUUCCGGGGGUAGGUUCGUCCGCCCCGGGUUAGCCGGGAGCUAAGGCGAGGCCGAAAGGCGUAGUCGAUGCACAUACGGUAGAGAUUCCGUAGCCGCUAAACUUUUAAAUAUACUGACACGAUUGUGGACUCCGUGCCGGGCGUUGGUUGCCCCGGUCGCAAGGGACUGAAAUUAUAGUAGGGAAGAGGAGAAAGCAAGCGGCGAGAAAAGGUAUAUGUAUAAGUCAGGCGCCCGUACCGCAAACCGACACAGGUAGAUGAGGAGAGAAUCCUAAGGCCAACGGGAGAAGGGUUGUUAAGGAACUCGGCAUAUUGACCCCGUAACUUCGGAAGAAGGGGUGCCCCCGCAAGGGGGCCGCAGUGAAAAGGCCCAGGCGACUGUUUAUCAAAAACACAGGUCUCUGCAAAACCGAAAGGUGAAGUAUAGGGGCUGACGCCUGCCCGGUGCCGGAAGGUCAAGGGGAAGUGUUAGAGCAAUCGAAGCACAGAACUUAAGCCCCGGUAAACGGCGGCCGUAACUAUAACGGUCCUAAGGUAGCGAAAUUCCUUGUCAGGUAAGUUCUGACCCGCACGAA
This 1906-nucleotide ribosomal RNA is filed under the name human gut metagenome. Its description in RNAcentral is "bacterial LSU rRNA". It matches the Rfam family "Bacterial large subunit ribosomal RNA", at positions 3 to 1996 of the family's 2925-position model. The record is from RNAcentral.